AGGAUAAACGCUGGCGGCGUGCCUAACACAUGCAAGUCGAACGCGCUUUCGGGCUUCGGUGCGAGAGCGAGUGGCGGACGGGUGAGUAACACAUGGGUACCUACCUUGGAGUGAGGGAUACCGGCGAGAAAUCGCCGACAAUACCGCAUAGGCUUCUUCACAAGGGAAGCAAAGUGACGCGAGUCACGCUUUGAGAUGGGCCUGUGGCCGAUUAGCUAGUUGGGGGGGUAACGGCUUCCCAAGGCGACGAUCGGUAGCUGGUCUGAGAGGACGAUCAGCCACACUGGGAUUGAGAACGGCCCAGACUCCUACGGGGGCAGCAGUGAGGAAUUUUCCGCAAUGGAGGCAACUCUGACGGAGCAACGCCGCGUGCAGGAGGAAGGUUUUCGGAUCGUAAACUGCUUUUCGUCGGGGACGAGCAAGGACGGUACCCGAGGAAGAAGCCCCGGCUAACGUACGCGCCAGCAGCCGC
RNAcentral lists this ribosomal RNA (472 nucleotides) under uncultured bacterium. RNAcentral describes it as "SSU rRNA". It matches the Rfam family "Bacterial small subunit ribosomal RNA", at positions 26 to 518 of the family's 1533-position model. The record is from RNAcentral.